AUGCUCAUUUCGGCAAACACAUAUACUAAAAUUGGAAUACAGAGAUUAGCAUGGCUCCUGCACAAGGAUGAUACGCAAAUUCAGGAAGCAUUCCAUAUUAAA
Molecule: small nuclear RNA, 102 nt
Filed under: Erinaceus europaeus (western European hedgehog)
Lineage: Eukaryota; Metazoa; Chordata; Mammalia; Eulipotyphla; Erinaceidae
Source: RNAcentral